GAUGAACGCUGGCGGCGUGCCUAAUACAUGCAAGUCGAGCGAACAGACGAGGAGCUUGCUCCUCUGACGUUAGCGGCGGACGGGUGAGUAACACGUGGAUAACCUACCUAUAAGACUGGGAUAACUUCGGGAAACCGGAGCUAAUACCGGAUAAUAUAUUGAACCGCAUGGUUCAAUAGUGAAAGACGGUUUUGCUGUCACUUAUAGAUGGAUCCGCGCCGCAUUAGCUAGUUGGUAAGGUAACGGCUUACCAAGGCAACGAUGCGUAGCCGACCUGAGAGGGUGAUCGGCCACACUGGAACGGAGACGCGGUCCAGACUACUACGGGAGGCAGCAGUAGGGAAUCUUACGCAAUGGGCGGAAGCCUGACGGAGCAACGCCGCGUGAGUGAUGAAGGUCUUCGGAUCGUAAAACUCUGUUAUUAGGGAAGAACAAACGUGUAAGUAACUAUGCACGUCUUGACGGUACCUAAUCAGAAAGCCACGGCUAACUACGUG
RNAcentral lists this ribosomal RNA (497 nucleotides) under uncultured bacterium. RNAcentral describes it as "partial 16S ribosomal RNA". It matches the Rfam family "Bacterial small subunit ribosomal RNA", at positions 28 to 507 of the family's 1533-position model. The record is from RNAcentral.